Thrips palmi is the source of this 653-nucleotide long non-coding RNA. RefSeq lists it as uncharacterized. NCBI's taxonomy places the organism in Eukaryota, Metazoa, Arthropoda, Insecta, Thysanoptera, Thripidae. The transcript is spliced from 3 exons. The record is from RefSeq and is a predicted model, not a curated record.
CUCAGUGUGCAGCGCGCCGCUAUGGAGUGAGCGUCUCGCCGCGUGUGUGCCACCUCGUGCAGUGAGUGCAGUGCAAAGUGCAGUGAAGUGAACCAGUGUACCCAGUGUACCCGCAUCGCCACUUGGAGUACCCGGCGUGCGGGAGUGCAAGUGCCAGUGUGUCUGUGAGCGUGAGUGCACUAGAGUGCCGGCAACGCCCCGCGCCCACCAGCCUGCCCGGCCUGGCCUGCCUGGCCAUCGCCAGCACGGAGUCCCCCAAGGCUGCCCGAAGGCUGCCUUGGUCUGGGCCGCGCCUCGCGUCGCCUCGCGCCUCGGAUUCAGUCUUUGGAAGGGAACAAAACGUCCAAAAAGCACAAGAAGCUCGCCGUAGAAUGGAUACGGCGAUAAACAGCUCGUCGGGGGACCCGGCCCACCCGGCCGCUGCAGCCAGACCCCAGCCAGAGCCGUCAUAUGCCCGGCUGUGGGGGUCAGCCUGAGUCGUUUCUGCAAGGAGGCGGGCAGACUUGCGGGCGUGAUGUGAGCUCGGCCGCGAGCAGCUCCUGCUGCCAGCUGAGCCCAUGGCUCACCAUGGCGGCCGCCUCAUGCCAGCACCCUCGCUGGGCCCCCCCUUGGGCCCCCCCUUGGGCCCCCCGUCCCCCCUGGUGCCCCUUCGA